Molecule: ribosomal RNA, 425 nt
Filed under: uncultured prokaryote
Description: bacterial SSU rRNA
Rfam family: Bacterial small subunit ribosomal RNA
Source: RNAcentral
UGGGGAAUCAUGGUCAAUGGGCGAAAGCCUGAACCUGCGACGCCGCGUGAGUGAUGAAGGUCGUAAGAUCGUAAAACUCUUUUCAGGGAUCUUAAAGCCUGUCUGUCAACAACAGGCAGGUCUGACUCUCCCUGGAAGAAGCCCCAGCCAACUACGUGCCAGCAGCUGCGGUAAUACGUAGGGGGCGAGCGUUAUUCGGAAUUACUGGGUGUAAAGGGUAUGUAGGCGGCCCUUCAAGUCGCGUGUCAAAGUCCAGUGCUCAACGCUGGGUGGGCACGCGAUACUGGCGGGCUUGAGGGCUGGAGAGGUGAGCGGAAUUCCCGGUGUAGUGGUAAAAUGCGUAGAGAUCGGGAGGAACACCAGCGGCGCAGGCGGCUCACUGGACAGUUUCUGACGCUAAGAUACGAAAGCGUGGGGAGCAAACA